RNAcentral lists this ribosomal RNA (353 nucleotides) under uncultured Alphaproteobacteria bacterium. Its description in RNAcentral is "SSU rRNA". It matches the Rfam family "Bacterial small subunit ribosomal RNA", at positions 242 to 612 of the family's 1533-position model. The record is from RNAcentral. Lineage: Bacteria; Pseudomonadati; Pseudomonadota; Alphaproteobacteria.
CAGCUUGUUGGUGAGGUAAAAGCUCACCAAGGCGACGAUCCUUAGCUGGUCUGAGAGGAUGAUCAGCCACACUGGGACUGAGACACGGCCCAGACUCCUACGGGAGGCAGCAGUGGGGAAUAUUGGACAAUGGGCGAAAGCCUGAUCCAGCAAUGCCGCGUGAGUGAUGAAGGCCUUAGGGUUGUAAAGCUCUUUUACCCGGGAUGAUAAUGACAGUACCGGGAGAAUAAGCUCCGGCUAACUCCGUGCCAGCAGCCGCGGUAAUACGGAGGGAGCUAGCGUUGUUCGGAAUUACUGGGCGUAAAGCGCGCGUAGGCGGCUUUGUAAGUUAGAGGUGAAAGCCCGGAGCUCAA